Molecule: ribosomal RNA, 469 nt
Filed under: uncultured bacterium
Lineage: Bacteria
Description: partial 16S ribosomal RNA
Rfam family: Bacterial small subunit ribosomal RNA
Source: RNAcentral
GGACGAACGCUGGCGGCGUGCUUACCCCAUGCAAGUCGAACGGAAGGGCCCUGCUUUUGUGGGGUGCUCGAGUGGCGAACGGGUGAGUAACACGUGAGUAACCUGCCCUUGACUUUGGGAUAACUUCAGGAAACUGGGGCUAAUACCGGAUAGGAGCUCCUGCUGCAUGGUGGGGGUUGGAAAGUUUCGGCGGUUGGGGAUGGACUCGCGGCUUAUCAGCUUGUUGGUGGGGUAGUGGCUUACCAAGGCUUUGACGGGUAGCCGGCCUGAGAGGGUGACCGGCCACAUUGGGACUGAGAUACGGCCCAGACUCCUACGGGAGGCAGCAGUGGGGAAUAUUGCACAAUGGGCGGAAGCCUGAUGCAGCAACGCCGCGUGCGGGAUGACGGCCUUCGGGUUGUAAACCGCUUUCGCCUGUGACGAAGCGUGAGUGACGGUAAUGGGUAAAGAAGCACCGGCUAACUACGUG